CACCGGUGAUAAUAAAGCCUUAGAAAUAAAGCCUUAGAAAUAGUUGGGAGGAGGGAGGGACCGCUAUUCCUGCAAGGGCAGGUUUACAACUGAUGUCUUACACCCACUCCAGGAAACAAACCUGGGUAGGGACUGACGUGUUACGCCUCUUCUAAUGACAUUUUUUUUCUUUCCACCUCCUUUUCUUUGCCGUGUAACACAGAGGAGAAGCCCCCUGAAACGCACGCCACCUAUCUUCACGGGAGGGGAUAAUUGAGGAGAGCCAAACGUGAGCAUCUUCUGGGUUGAACGUGAAGUUUUUUUUUUUUCCUCCCUCUCUCCCCCUCUUCCUCCUCUUUUCUUUCCCUCACUCUCCUCUCUCUUCCUCCAUCUCUUCUCUUUUUGAGUGAAACCAACUAUGUCGGGCUUCGACGCGGAGCAACGACCAGGCGACAGUGUGUGUUUUUUCCCGUUCUUCGGGUGCAUGCGAGUGUGUACGUGUGUGUUAGUGUAGAAGGGGGAGAAACUUGGAGCGCGUCCACGCCGGCCGCAAUCAUUUCCUCUUCAACUUGUCUGCCUGGACCGGAGGAGUCAGCCAAGGACUCCAAUGGCAGAUUGAGUUUUUUGGUGAGUUUACUUUCUUCCCUUCAGUAUUUCAAUCAUUUCCAUCAUGACAUGAAGUCUUUUUCUAUCUUCUUCUUCUUAUUGAACAACAAAGAGGAGGAGGAGGAGGAGGAGGAGGAGGGCACAAGCGGGGUGAAGCUGCUUUGCCUCCCGUUUUUCUCGGGUCGAAAGUGGAUCCAGUCCUGGGUGAAUUAUUGUCAUGCGUAAUUUACUGCCACGGUGCUUGCAUGUAAACGAAGCAGUCCGGCACUCUCUCUCUCACACACACUCUCUCUCUCUCUCUCUCUCUCUCUCUCUCUCUCUCACACACACACACUCACACACACUUAAACCGUAGCUGCAGCUCUGUGUCCCAUUCAUCCAAGCGAGUCUGGAGUGGCACCUCUCCUUUUUUUCCCUUUUUUACGCACACAGGCUCCCCGACGUGAGGCCGCAUAUUCACCGUGAAAACGGAUUACAGUCGGUGUGUGACCUAUAGGGGGACCUUGUGCUUAAUGAAUAAAUUGAUUUAAAUGAGGGGAGGGGCAUCAAAAACAACGUAUGCAUGAAUUCAUAAUUCUUUAUGGUUUUAAUGAUUAAAAGUGCUAAAUGUUGAUGUUUAAAUUAACUAUAAUAAAAAUUGUAAAGAACUAUGUUUUGGGAAAAUUGUUAUUCAUGAGAUUAAUCGUCGACUAAAACAGGCAGAUUUGUAAUUAUUUAAAUAAUUUCUAAUGAAUUGUGGAUAUUUUUAACUGUAUUGAUUAAUGUUGAUCUCUCUCCUGUUUGUAUUUUUUUCUCGAAAUAAAAAUCUGAAGCUUUCGCAGCA
Anarrhichthys ocellatus (wolf-eel) is the source of this 1408-nucleotide long non-coding RNA. RefSeq lists it as uncharacterized. NCBI's taxonomy places the organism in Eukaryota, Metazoa, Chordata, Actinopteri, Perciformes, Anarhichadidae. The record is from RefSeq and is a predicted model, not a curated record. The transcript is spliced from 2 exons.